This 1752-nucleotide long non-coding RNA is filed under the name Strongylocentrotus purpuratus (purple sea urchin). RNAcentral describes it as "uncharacterized LOC115924576, transcript variant X3". Lineage: Eukaryota; Metazoa; Echinodermata; Echinoidea; Camarodonta; Strongylocentrotidae. The record is from RNAcentral.
CCAGGCCAGGCAAGGGAAAAGCAAUGUUGUCCGAGUUGUGAGACCCCAGAAAAAGACAUAAUUUUCUAGGACAUAGGAACCAUAGGACUACGAGGAUGGUUGAUGUGGACAUGGAAGUGAAAAGGACACCUAAGGCAGUUUUGGCAGAGCCCAGUUGAAACACUUGAAAAUGUAACUCAACAAGUUUUAACAGCUGAAUAUGGAUUUCUCUGACAUCUCCUUUUUAGGUCAAUGAUGGAAGAGCAUACUAUUCAUGUAUUACUGGCUAUGAGGCGAUUGAAUGUGCUGGAAGACCAAAAGAACCAUGAACUUGUUUGAUGAUUGGCUGCCUUCACCAUGCCGGGGGAUGGAGCCAAGAGAUGAAAACUCCAGGAUGAGGAUGUGAGAGGAGACGAUACAACAUCACAUCGAUGACGCUGUGAAGUCAUCAGGAAUAUGAGGAUCUACAUUGCAGUAUGAUUGGCUGCCUUCAUCAUGCCGGGGCAUGGAGCCGAGAGAUGAAAACUCCUCAAUGGAGAUGUGAGAGAAGACACAACAUCACAUCAAUGGCAACUCUGUGGAGUCAUUGGGAAUAUGAAGAUCUACAUUGCAGGAUGCUGUACAGCAUUUGGAUUAGCUGUUCCCCCCGUCUCAGUUGCCUAAGGUUAGUAAACCAUGGGCUAUCAAGUUGCAUUUUCUGUCAACUCAACUCAUACAAAGAAGUGUAUAUUUACAAUUAAUCUGACAUUUUCAAAUUGAGGGGGGGGGGGGGGGGUUGUACCCGUUAUGCAAUUCUGAAUGUAGAAGUAUAUUGUUUUCCUGAUCCAUACAAAAAUAUUCUGGAUGUUUUAUAUUUCACUUCAUUCUUUAUUUAUUUUUUAAAAUAUGCAAACACUAAAAUAUAUACAAAGCAUUUCAAGGUAAAAUGGGGUGUGUAUGUUGUGAGGCAAUGUUUUAAUCACGAAUAGAUAUCUUAUUAAUUAUACAACAGCAAUAUUCUUCUGAUUCUGUUAAUGCUGGUGACAGAAAAUCAUGAAGUAUGGAGACUGCCCUGUGAUGACAAAAGAUGCCUUAUUCAGAAACUGGGGUGUGAACAUCCCAUCAUACACCUUUCUUACAUUCUAAUGCUACUCUUCUCCUGCUCUUGUUUCUCUUUUCUUUCCUUUCCUUAUUUUCCCUCUCAUUCUCUAUGGGAUGUUUGCAGUUUGAACCAGUUUGGUGAGAAUCAAUGUCUGAGGGCACAUUUUGCAAACCAAUUUCGAAAUGGACUUAUGUGCAUUACGAAAUAUUGUAAUGUGGUUAUUGUAGGGACAUCACUCAUAUUAUGUUGCGACUUAUGUGGUGAGAUUUUAGGUAUUAUAUAAGUCACAUGAGAUAUCUUUGACGUUUCGUUAUUUGAUCAUUAAAUUAUUUUUAUUUUUCUCUCUGUCCAAAGCUUGGUCAACAUCGCUGGUUCAUCAGAUCUGAUUCAAAAGAACUGGAGGGCAUUUUAAAGCUAUCUGUGAGAAAAUGCAAGUGGACUUAUAACUCAACUGAAGACAUCUAGAGGACGGCCCCAGUGCUGUAGGAAUUUUAGACCUACAGCUAGUAAACAAUACAACUUUUAAUUUCAAUUUUGCCGCUGUAAGUUGCAUGGGACAUACCCAAAAGUAGGGAGACUCACUCGAGUGAAAACCUGAAUAACUCACUGGCAUUUUGAUAGUGAGCAUUUGCCAAAACCAAUCUUUGAGGUUUUUCAUGCUUAUAAGUGAUUGCUUUCCAAUUCCAAUGAAA